GAUGAACGCUAGCGGCAGGCCUAAUACAUGCAAGCCGAACGGUAAGAUUUGUAGCAAUACGAGUCCUAGAGUGGCGUAAGGGUGCGUAACACGUAUGCAAUCUGCCCGCAACUGGAGGAUAGCUCGGGGAAACCCGGAUUAACCUCCAUAAGAUCACACAAUGGCAUCAAAGAGUGAUUAAAUCUCCGGAGGUUGCGGAUGAGCAUGCGGUUGANAGUCUAGUUGGUAGUGUAACGGACUACCAAGGCAAUGAUCAAUAGGGGGAACU
RNAcentral lists this ribosomal RNA (268 nucleotides) under uncultured bacterium. Its description in RNAcentral is "partial 16S ribosomal RNA". It matches the Rfam family "Bacterial small subunit ribosomal RNA", at positions 28 to 294 of the family's 1533-position model. The record is from RNAcentral.